AUAAGGUACUCUCUUAGAUAAAGGAAGUGCCAGAGACUGGGAAGACAUUAAUCCUGCCUGCAGAAAUCCCUUUUUAGUCUACAUGUCAUAAAAUGUAUG
Molecule: long non-coding RNA, 99 nt
Filed under: Homo sapiens (human)
Lineage: Eukaryota; Metazoa; Chordata; Mammalia; Primates; Hominidae
Description: novel transcript
Source: RNAcentral